GUUAAUAUAGCAUAAUAAGUGCAUUUGUUUUAAGCGCAAAAGAUAAAAGUUAAUUA
This 56-nucleotide transfer RNA is filed under the name Trichostrongylus axei. RNAcentral describes it as "tRNA-Leu". Lineage: Eukaryota; Metazoa; Nematoda; Chromadorea; Rhabditida; Trichostrongylidae. The record is from RNAcentral.